AGGCGUCCCCAUGGCGUGGGUGCCAUUCCUCCUCACCCUGCUCACCCAUUGCACAGGAUCUUUGGCUGACUUUGCCCUGACUCAGCCCCGCUCUGUGUCAGGGUCUCCAGGACAGAAAGUCACCAUCUCCUGCACUCGUAGCAGUGGCAACAUUGGAAGCUACUAUGUGCACUGGUACCAGCAGCAGCCGGGUAGAGCCCCCACCACUGUGAUCUAUAACGAUAACCAAAGACCCUCUGGGGUUCCAGAUCGGUUCUCGGGCUCCAUUGACAGCUCCUCCAACUCUGCCUCCCUGACCAUCUCUGCGCUGCAGGCUGAGGAUGAGGCCGACUACUACUGUCAGUCUUAUGAUAACAGUGACAUUCACACAGUGCUCCAGACCAAGGGGGAAGUGAGACAAAAACUCCCCAGAGCGUCCUCGCCCUGGGUCUACCCUCAACCUGGGAAGGAUGUGAAGCUCUUUUAUCUUUUCUGCUUCAAUACUUCAGUUGGGCUCCUUGCUGAACCUGACUAG
Non-coding RNA from Otolemur garnettii (small-eared galago), 514 nucleotides. The record is from the annotation of a RefSeq genome assembly. Lineage: Eukaryota; Metazoa; Chordata; Mammalia; Primates; Galagidae.